This 4329-nucleotide ribosomal RNA is filed under the name Triticum aestivum (bread wheat). Its description in RNAcentral is "partial small subunit ribosomal RNA". Lineage: Eukaryota; Viridiplantae; Streptophyta; Magnoliopsida; Poales; Poaceae. The record is from RNAcentral.
AUGGCGAUGAUCCUAGAUGCCUUUGCAUACUAUGUGCAAAAUAUGCUCACGGAGAUGGUGAAGGAAGAAGUGCACAUGCUGCUUGGAGUCGGAGAUGACAUCGACAAGAUGGAUGUCAAGCUUGGGGAUCUCAAGAACUUCCUUGCCGAUGCUGACAGAAGGAACAUCACAGACAAGAGCGUGCAAGAGUGGGUGGGCCAGCUCAAGCGUGCCAUGUACGAAGCCGCCGACAUACUCGACGUCUGUCAGCUCAAGGCCAUGGAGCGUGGUUCAUCCACUGUGGAUGUCGGGUGCUUCAAUCCCUUGCUCUUUUGCAUGCGGAAUCCCUCCCAUGCCCACGACAUCGCCACCCGCAUCAAGGGUCUGAACAAGAGGCUCGACACCAUCAAGGAGCGAAGCGCUGCUUUCAGCUUCAUCAAUCUUGGUUCAUACGAGGACCGUAGCAGCAAGGUGCACGCUUCUCAUUCUGGAAAUACCAGACGUGAGACAUCAGGGGAGUUCGAUCGGUCGGGUAUAGUCGGGGAGAAGAUCGAAGAAGACACAAGAAAGCUGGUUGAGAUCAUGUUGACUGAAAAAGAGGGCAACGCCAACAUCAUGGUGGUUGCCAUUGUUGGUGUCGGCGGCAUAGACUUCGACAGGGUUGAGCUGCUCAGGACAAUCAUCACCCUUGCUGGGGGAAAACACUGUGGUGAAAAAGCGUUGGCUGUGCUUCAGCCAAUUCUCACUACUGCCCUGACAGGGAAGAAGCUAUUGCUGGUGCUAGAUGAUGUGUGGAGUCACGAAGCAUGGGGUGAUGUGCUUGAAAUACCCUUGGCUAAUACUCUGGUUCGAGGUAGUAGGGUCCUCCUCACUACUAGAGAUGAGAGAGUUGCUCGAGGGAUGAAAGCUGUGCUUCCCUACCACCACGUGGACAAAUUGAAGGAGGAGGAUGCCUGGUCAUUGCUCAAGAAACAGAUAGUCUCAAGUGUGACUGAUAUACAUGAGAUAGAUAUGCUCAAGGAUAUUGGCUUGCAAAUUGUAGCAAAAUGUGAUGGCUUGCCUCUUGCUAUCAAAGUAAUGGGAGGACUCUUGUGUCAGAAGGAUAAUCAACACAGUGACUGGAAGAUGGUUCUGGAUGAUUCUAUAUGGUCAGUAUCUGGAAUGCCCAAAGAGCUAAACCAUGCAGUAUAUUUGAGCUAUGAAGAUUUACCUUCUUGCAUCAAACAAUGCUUUCUAUGCUAUUCCCUUCUCCCUAAAGCUGCAAAGUUUCUAAGAGAGGACAUAAUUGGCAUGUGGAUUAGUGAAGGAUUUCUACAUGGACCCUCAGACGACUUGGAAGAAUUAGGAAGAAAGUACUAUAAAGAGUUGAUACAGAGGAACCUUAUAGAGCCAGAUUCAAAGUACAUUGAUCAACUAUUUUGCAACAUGCAUGAUGUCGUUCGCUCGUUUGCUCAAUUUGUGGCUAGAGAUGAGGCAUUAGCAGCUCACAGUGGAGAAAGUAAUAUUGUUAGUAAACUUUGUGCACGUAAGUUUCUUCGGUUGUCGCUAGAAAGCAAAGCAUCAGGAUCAGAUGGGUUAGACUGGAGUUCUUUACAAGCACAAGACACACUGAGAACACUAAUUUCAGUUGGCCAUAUAAAUAUGAAGCCCGGUAAUUCAUUGGUUCAUUUUCCAUGUCUACGAACUCUGCAUAUAGAGUCUGCACAUGCCGCGUUGGUUGAAUCUUUGCAUGAAUUCAAGCACUUGAGGUACUUAUCUUUAGAACGGUCAGAUAUCCGUAGGCUUCCAGAAAGCAUUGGUAAAAUGAAAUUCUUGCAGUACAUUAGCCUUAGAGGAUGCCAACAAUUUGUGGAACUUCCACAUAGCAUUGUAAACUUAGGACACCUAAGGUACCUUAACUUCCAGAAAACAAGUAUAAAUGGCAUACCUAGGGGGUUCCGUGUUCUGACAAAUUUGAGGAAAGUAAAUGGAUUUCCGGCCCGGGUGGAUGGUGAUUGGUGCAGUUUAGAAGAGUUGGGCCCUCUUUGUCGGCUCAAGUAUCUUGAAAUACAGGGGUUGGAGAAUGUAACUGCUUCCUCGUUCUCAGCAAAGGCAAAGCUUGUUGAGAAGUUGCAUCUUACCAACCUAUGCUUAACCUGUGGUAGUAGAUUGGGGGAUGACGGGCUGAUUGAAGAAGAGACCCAACAAAUUGAGAAGGUGUUUGACGAACUCUGCCCUCCUCCCAGCUUAAAUUUUCUUGCCAUCGAAGGAUAUUUUGGCCGACGACACCCAAAGUGGAUGAUGUCAUCAUCAGAUAUGCCCCUCAAGAACUUGAGGAUUCUGAUGGCUGAAGAUCUGGCUUCGUGCACACAACUUCCUGAUGGCUUGUGUCAGCUUCCUUAUUUGGAGUUCCUUCAGAUUGACCGUGCCCCAGCCAUCAAGCGUGUUGGACAUGAAUUCCUGCAGUCCUAUCAUCACCAGAAUCCUCAUCCUUCCAAGGCGGUGAUUUCAUUUCUGAGAUUGCACACAAUGAAGUUAAUGGGCUUGGUGGAAUGGGAGGAGUGGAAGUGGGAGGAGCAAGUUCAAGCCUUUCCUGCCCUGACUGAACUUAUUCUGUUUGAAUGCAAUUUGAACCGUCUUCCUCCUGGCCUUGCCUCCCAGGCAAGGGCUUUGAAGGUAUUAUCCGUACAGCAGGUCAAGGGUCUCAUCUCUCUAGAGAACAUUGCUUCCCUGAUCGAGCUGCAAGUAAUUGAAAACUUCCACUUGGAGAGAAUCACUAAUCUCCCCAGACUGCAGAAGCUUACCAUCACCCGCUGCCCAAAGUUGAAGGUGCUGGAGGGUGUUCCUGCACUACAGAGGCUCAUGCUCGAGGACGACUACAUGGAGACACUCCCAGAAUACAUGGGAAGUAUAAACCCAAGACGUUUGGAGCUCUACUGCAGCCUGGCGCUGCUUGCUUCCAUGGCAGUGGCACAAUCUGGACUUGAGUGGGACAAGUUCAGCCAUAUUGAGCAUGUCAAGGCAUAUGCACAUGAAGGAGACAAUCCAAGGAAAUGGUAUGCAUUGUACACAACUAAUCCCUACAACUUGGAGACAAAUGUCAACAGCUCUGCUUUGAUGUAUAGAGGAACCUUAUUUUCUUUGGAGGAUGCGCAAACAUUUGAGUCUGUCUUCAAAAUGACAAGAAGAACUUUUAGGUAUAUCUGCAGCUUGGUGAGUCUGGAAUUGAAUUAUAUGACAUGCUACACCUUUGCUGAUGGGAGGGAGCUGUCUUUACAAGAUCUAGUAGCCAUUGUUCUCAGAAGGUUGUACUCUAGUGAGCCACCGGAGACAAUAGGAUCCACUGUUGGUGUGAACGAGUCAACCGUCUUGUUGGUAACUGAGAGCUUUGUUGCUGUGUUGUGCAAUCGAGCAAAGCAUCACUUGCUUUGGCCAGACUCCAGUAGAAUGUAUAAGAUCAAAUCCAUGUUUGACAAGAUCCACAAUAUGAAUAACUGCUGCGGUGUUAUAUGUACAACUCGCAUCCCAUUUGGACCAAACCGCGACAGUGAGUAUUAUUGCAGUGUUAUAAUGCAAGUCAUCAUUGAUCCAGAGAUGAGGUUCACAAACAUUUGGUUGGCAUCGACAGGUAGCAUGAAUCCCUUCAGCAUUUUACACAACUCUUCACUCUUCAAUGAGUGCCAGAAGGGUGAUUUGCUGAAUGGCAACAAGCUGAAGGUAGCAUUAGAUGGAUCAGAAGUAGGGGAAUACAUAAUUGGUGAUGUAGAAUACCCUCUUCUCCCCUGGCUACUCACGCCUUACAAGGAAGAAGAGCUCUCCGACUCCAAGGUGGAGUUCAAUAGGAGACACUCUGCAGCCACAACCUGCAUGCUGAAUAAUGUACUGGCAAGGUUCAAAGGCACAUGGAAGUACCUGCAAGAGGAGACAUGGUGGCCGGUCAAUCCGGACACUCUGAGUAACAUAAUCAAUGCCUGCUGCAUAUUGCAUAACAUAGUCAUAGAUAUGGAGGAUGAUGCAGCCAUGCCAAGCUCUGAAGCUGAGGAUUGGAGUUACCAUCAGCAAGUGCGCCAGUUAGCAAAUGAGGACGCUGUCAGGGCAAGGGAUAUGUUGUCGCAAUUUUUCUUGGCCAGAAUGUCAUCCGAAUUGGGAGGUGAGUUAACAGAACUUCUCCUACAUCUUAAUUUGUUCAUUUGGUUGCUAUGUCCACUUAUUUGUCUUGAUUAUUUCGUCCUGCUGUUUCCAUCCUUCAUCUGUUUAGUCGGCACAGUGGAUGCAGAGGAGGACCAUGAACUAGCUGCAACAGGCUCAGGGGACGAAAACAAGGAACAAGAAGCAGAGACAAAAUCAGCAGAGGAAGAGAGGCAAUGUUAG